This 2451-nucleotide long non-coding RNA is filed under the name Heterocephalus glaber (naked mole-rat). RNAcentral's name for it is "lncRNA (ENSHGLG00100041883.1)". The record is from RNAcentral. Lineage: Eukaryota; Metazoa; Chordata; Mammalia; Rodentia; Bathyergidae.
CCCCCUUUGGCUGUUCUGAAUACUGCUGUAGGAACAGUGCCCUGCCAGUGUUGUUCGCAUACCUGUUUUCAAUGCUUUGCUUUUCAUUUUUGAGACAGCGUCUCCCUAUGUGAGACUGCCCUCGAACUCAGCGAUCCUCCUGCCUCAGCCUCCCGAGUGCUGGGAUGACAGGCAUGUGCCCAGACCUCCUGGGCACUUUGGGGCACACUCCUCAGAGCAGAAUUACUGGGUGUAUGAGAAUUCCGGUGUUUUGCCUUUUGAGGGCUUUCUGUACCUGUGUUUUAAAGCAGUUUGGUCCCAAGGACUUAACCAAGGGGCCUCUGGGUCGCCCUCGGCUCCGUACCGGUACCAGGCCCCAACAGUGCGGCCCGCAGAGGGGGUCUAGGGCCGGGACGGCGGCCUCCUUGCAGUGCAGCCACGCGCGCUGUGGGGGCGCUCAGGAGGCAGCCCACGCGGGGCCUCCGCUUAGGAGCAGGAAGGCAGGGGCUGCAGGAGCCUAUGGUGGAGGAGCUAGGCACCAUCGUCCAUCAAGGUUGUAACCGACGGACAUCAGGCCGAGGAGCAGAGAAGGGGCCGACCGCGGGGGAGAGCAGGAGGACAGAGCCUUCCAGGCAGACAGCGCGGCCUGUGCAAAGGCCCUGCUCCCUCUUGUGGAUGACCCGAGGGAGGAGCUGGAGGACCCAGAGCAGUGGAGACCGCAGCCGAGGCUAGAGUGGCCCCUGGAGGAGGGGCGCUCUCUCUGUCCGUCCCAGGGCUGGUUCUCCUGACUUCUCCUCGAACCCAUGGCGGGGGGGGCGGGCAGGAGCUGCCAGCUCAGCGCUUCGGACUCGGGGCUCAGUCGUACAGACGUUGUGCAGGGCGUCUGGAUGGGGGCUUUGGGGGCCCGGGCGAGGACGGCUCGGAGGGGAAGAGGGUGCGAGGAGGAGGAAGGGAACAUUACUGCACCCGCCUGCCAGACCCCGAGUCCCCCAGGCCUGCGGCGUCUCCGGUGCAGGUCAGGAGCUGCCGCCAGGCGCACCGUGGGGAAGGCGGCUGCAGACCGGGCCCGGCGGGGCGGCGCCCCGGGGAGCGUCUGUGUCAACGGAGCCCGUGCUGGAGGAAGAGCCCAGCUGGGGGGCCUGGCCCCCACGGGUGCCCAGCCCGGUGCCAUCGCUCUCCAAACCCCUCCUUCUCUGGAAUAAAGGCAGCCAGAACCCUGCUGCGAACUGCCACUCGCGGCAAAUUCCCAGGACCGACCUGCAAGUUGAGGCAGGCGCUGCCGCGCCAGAGCAGGGAGCCAGGAAGAAGGCUGGGGGAGCCAGGGUGCGAGGGGUGACCCCUGAGGCGCUGCCUCCUCCUGAGGCCCAGGGACAUGGCCGCCCGAGGGCUCCUAGAGGAACUGAGCUGCUGGGCUGCAGGGCCAGCGACGGCUCUGAGGACCCCAAGGAGGACAGAAGUAAAAGUGACUGCUCAGAACACCAGGCGCAGUCGAUGACCACACUGUGUCCGCUGCCUGGCACAUGCGCACACCCUGCAUUUCAGGGGAGCCCCACCCCUUCGAGGCCCCACCCCAAGCGAGAGGGCUGCGGUGCUGUCCCCUUGCUGCCCGAGGCCGCUUCCCUGCCUUCCCCCUGCCGCAGGACCCUUCGCCUGCCUUACUAGGUCCAGGCGUGGAGAAGGGAACCCUGGGGACCUGGGGUCGCCCACAGAUGAGCUCUCUGAGUGUCUGGCGUAGGAGAAACCCGGACUUCGGAGCUCCAGAAAAAGACGAGGUGCAGAAGAAACACGGCCUGCCUGCAGGGAGAGGCUGAAAUGUGGGUGACGCCCCAGUCCCCACUGUCUGUCGCCUGGCUCCCCUCCUCACCCCAGCUACACGGCCGGUCCGCAGCCUCUGAGCCUGACAGCUCGGGCCCAGUGGCCUUGCCCUCCUGGGCAUCUCUGGCUUUGCCUUGUGCCCAGGAUCCAGGACAUCUCAUCCUGACCACACUGGGCACACAGCUGCCUCUCAGGCUGCCCGAAUCUUCACCAUGACAGCCACCUCCCAAGCCCCAGUGCUCAGCUGGCACAAUGACCCACUUCCUAUUGUCCUUCGGACUGGCUCACUCCUAGUGGACCUGCAAUAUAUUUACUUUUUGGCACUACCAGGGACUGAAUCCAGGGCCUUCACACUGAGCUCCAUCCUUGGCCCUUUUUUAUUUUUUAUUUUCACACAGUGUCUCCCUAGAUCGCUAAGUUACCCAGGUUGGGCUCAAACUUUCGACCCUCAGCCUCCCAGAGUGCUGGGAUGACAAGUGCACUGCCACACCUGGCUGCAAACUUUACUUUUCUCUUGGAAAUGUCAAGAGAACUACUGUGAAUAACAGGCACUGUCCCGCAGCGCCAGGGGCCAGGGCCGCCUUCGGGAUUCCUCUGAGGGAUUGUAUUUCCCUUUUGUGGAUUAGCAGAGAGCCUCUCAGAACAGCCAGGCCCGAG